AGCUGGACACAUUUUGUCGAAUUUGGAGGAUGUUUACGCUCGUACAGCGUCUAUGACGGGAGUAUCGGACAGUACCGUCUGGCAUAUUGCAAAAGAGGGCUCUAUAAUGGAAUAUUUCUAACUCCUGGAAGAAACAGAACAGGCCGUCUAAAAAGAGAAAUUGAUGAUUUUACUAUGUGUGCCCUUCGUCAACAAAUCCGGAUAUUUUAUAGAGUUGUAAUAAUGUUAUCUAAAUAAAUAUUUAUUGGUUUCAC
Molecule: non-coding RNA, 254 nt
Organism: Plutella xylostella (diamondback moth)
Lineage: Eukaryota; Metazoa; Arthropoda; Insecta; Lepidoptera; Plutellidae
Source: RefSeq, a predicted model, not a curated record